UCACUGUUUAGUACUCCCUUGCAGCAAAUUGGAACGGAAGAAUGGGGACUUAUGCAAGUCCUGUAUUCCUUGAAAACAUGUUUGCUGUGCAAAAAGUGAGUGGAUCUCUUUCAGCUAUCUGCCUUUAGUUAAAGGGGGGUGGAUACAAAGCAACAUAAAGAUAGAAACUUCCAAGGAACUUUGCAGUUUUUGCAACUUGGAAACUAUUUUAGAAAGUUGGAAACUAUUGCUGGGCUGUGGUCGAAAGAAAAUUGUGGCUGGA
This 262-nucleotide long non-coding RNA is filed under the name Elaeis guineensis (African oil palm). RNAcentral's name for it is "long non-coding RNA (EGUI_LNC021690)". Lineage: Eukaryota; Viridiplantae; Streptophyta; Magnoliopsida; Arecales; Arecaceae. The record is from RNAcentral.